GACGAACGCUSGCGGCGUGCCUAAUACAUGCAAGUCGAACGAACUCUGGUAAUGAUUGGUGCUUGCAUCAUGAAUUACAUUUGAGUGAGUGGCGAACUGGUGAGUAACACGUGGGAAACCUGCCCAGAAGCGGGGGAUAACACCUGGAAACAGAUGCUAAUACCGCAUAACAACUUGGACCGCAUGGUCCGAGUUUGAAAGAUGGCUUCGGCUAUCACUUUUGGAUGGUCCCGCGGCGUAUUAGCUAGAUGGUGAGGUAACGGCUCACCAUGGCAAUGAUACGUAGCCGACCUGAGAGGGUAAUCGGCCACAUUGGGACUGAGACACGGCCCAAACUCCUACGGGAGGCAGCAGUAGGGAAUCUUCCACAAUGGACGAAAGUCUGAUGGAGCAACGCCGCGUGAGUGAAGAAGGGUUUCGGCUCGUAAAACUCUGUUGUUAAAGAAGAACAUAUCUGAGAGUAACUGUUCAGGUAUUGACGGUAUUUAACCAGAAAGCCACGGCUAACUACGUGCCAGCAGCCGCGGUAAUACGUAGGUGGCAAGCGUUGUCCGGAUUUAUUGGGCGUAAAGCGAGCGCAGGCGGUUUUUUAAGUCUGAUGUGAAAGCCUUCGGCUCAACCGAAGAAGUGCAUCGGAAACUGGGAAACUUGAGUGCAGAAGAGGACAGUGGAACUCCAUGUGUAGCGGUGAAAUGCGUAGAUAUAUGGAAGAACACCAGUGGCGAAGGCGGCUGUCUGGUCUGUAACUGACGCUGAGGCUCGAAAGUAUGGGUAGCAAACAGGAUUAGAUACCCUGGUAGUCCAUACCGUAAACGAUGAAUGCUAAGUGUUGGAGGGUUUCCGCCCUUCAGUGCUGCAGCUAACGCAUUAAGCAUUCCGCCUGGGGAGUACGGCCGCAAGGCUGAAACUCAAAGGAAUUGACGGGGGCCCG
RNAcentral lists this ribosomal RNA (931 nucleotides) under Lactobacillus sp. RNAcentral describes it as "bacterial SSU rRNA". It matches the Rfam family "Bacterial small subunit ribosomal RNA", at positions 28 to 923 of the family's 1533-position model. The record is from RNAcentral. Lineage: Bacteria; Bacillati; Bacillota; Bacilli; Lactobacillales; Lactobacillaceae.